CGAACGGGUGAGUAACGCGUGAGGAACCUGCCUCAAAGAGGGGACAACAGUUGGAAACGACUGCUAAUACCGCAUAAGCCCACGACCCGGCAUCGGGUAGAGGGAAAAGGAGCAAUCCGCUUUGAGAUGGCCUCGCGUCCGAUUAGCUAGUUGGUGAGGUAAUGGCCCACCAAGGCGACGAUCGGUAGCCGGACUGAGAGGUUGAACGGCCACAUUGGGACUGAGACACGGCCCAG
RNAcentral lists this ribosomal RNA (236 nucleotides) under uncultured bacterium. Its description in RNAcentral is "partial 16S ribosomal RNA". It matches the Rfam family "Bacterial small subunit ribosomal RNA", at positions 99 to 334 of the family's 1533-position model. The record is from RNAcentral.